CCUACGGGAGGCAGCAGUGGGGAAUAUUGGACAAUGGGGGCAACCCUGAUCCAGCGACGCCGCGUGAGUGAAGAAGGAUUUCGGUAUGUAAAGCUCUAUUAGCAGGGAAGAAAGAAGUGACGGUACCUGACUAAGAAGCCGCGGCUAACUACGUGCCAGCAGCCGCGGUAAUACGUAGGGGGCAAGCGUUAUCCGGAUUUAGUGGGUGUAAAGGGAGUGUAGGCGGGAAUGCAAGUCUGAAGUGAAAAGCGCGGGCCCAACCCCUGGACUGCAUUUGAAACUGUAUGGCUGGAGUGCGGGAGAGGUAAGUGGAAUUCGUGGUGUAGCGGUGAAAUGCGUAGAUAUUAGGAGGAACACCAGUGGCGAAGGCGGCUUACUGGACAGUAACUGACGCUGAGGCGCGAAAGCGUGGGGAGCAAACAGGAUUAGAUACCCCAGUAGUC
RNAcentral lists this ribosomal RNA (443 nucleotides) under uncultured bacterium. Its description in RNAcentral is "partial 16S ribosomal RNA". It matches the Rfam family "Bacterial small subunit ribosomal RNA", at positions 338 to 795 of the family's 1533-position model. The record is from RNAcentral.